This is a non-coding RNA of Pantherophis guttatus, 260 nucleotides long. The record is from RefSeq and is a predicted model, not a curated record. Lineage: Eukaryota; Metazoa; Chordata; Lepidosauria; Squamata; Colubridae.
GUCUAUAGAGUUUGCAAGUAUAACCAAGGUAUUCUUAUAAGAAUUGCCUACAAAUUUAAAUCAUGUUUCAUACAGGACAGAUUUUAUUCUAUUUAAGUUUAUCAGGACUCUUCAAUUGCAAUCAUUCAUUCACAAUAUUUGAAAACUGGUGCAUAUAGCCAACUCAUUUAAAAUCAAAAGAUGCUCUUCAGUUCACAUCAAAUGAGAAAGAGAUUUGAGAUAUGAACUCAUUAAAUAACCUUGGAACUCUUUCUGAAAAA